Molecule: long non-coding RNA, 298 nt
Filed under: Lathyrus oleraceus (garden pea)
Lineage: Eukaryota; Viridiplantae; Streptophyta; Magnoliopsida; Fabales; Fabaceae
Description: Pisum sativum (pea) long non-coding RNA (PSAT_LNC009279)
Source: RNAcentral
CAUAGGCGGAAGGCGAGAGAAUAGGGUUGUUCUCGUGUUCGGCGGCGGUAGUACAGAAAAUGGUAGUACUGUUGCGGCGGAAGACUUCAAGGAAGGAGAAGAAGCAUGCGGCGGCGGACUGUAAUGAGGAAGAAGAAGAAACGUGUUUCUGCGUUUGCUUUUUUUUUAGAGAAAGGGAUUGGUUAGGAUUGAUACCAUGUAAGAUAAUGAAAAUUGUGUCUUUCUCAUUGAUCUAAAUAGAAUAUAUAUACAUCAAUGUGUAACAUUUGGUCAACUAUCUAAUUAUGAUACAACAUAA